UACGGAGGGGGCUAGCGUUGUUCGGAAUUACUGGGCGUAAAGCGCACGUAGGCGGACUGGAAAGUCAGGGGUGAAAUCCCGGGGCUCAACCCCGGAACUGCCUUUGAAACUCCCAGUCUUGAGGUCGAGAGAGGUGAGUGGAAUUCCGAGUGUAGAGGUGAAAUUCGUAGAUAUUCGGAGGAACACCAGUGGCGAAGGCGGCUCACUGGCUCGAUACUGACGCUGAGGUGCGAAAGCGUGGGGAGCAAAC
RNAcentral lists this ribosomal RNA (250 nucleotides) under uncultured bacterium. RNAcentral describes it as "partial 16S ribosomal RNA". It matches the Rfam family "Bacterial small subunit ribosomal RNA", at positions 524 to 773 of the family's 1533-position model. The record is from RNAcentral.